RNAcentral lists this unclassified non-coding RNA (306 nucleotides) under plant metagenome. RNAcentral describes it as "partial contains 5.8S ribosomal RNA, internal transcribed spacer 2, and large subunit ribosomal RNA". The stretch from base 1 to 105 matches the Rfam family "5.8S ribosomal RNA", at positions 50 to 154 of the family's 154-position model. The record is from RNAcentral.
GAAAUGCGAUAAGUAAUGUGAAUUGCAGAAUUCAGUGAAUCAUCGAAUCUUUGAACGCACAUUGCGCCCGCCAGUAUUCUGGCGGGCAUGCCUGUCCGAGCGUCAUUUCAACCAUCAAGCCCCCGGGCUUGUGUUGGGGACCUGCGGCUGCCCGCAGGCCCUGAAAACCAGUGGCGGGCUCGCUGUCACACCGAGCGUAGUAGCAAUCACCUCGCUCAGGGCGUGCUGCGGGUUCCGGCCGUUAAACAGCCUUACAAAACCCAAGGUUGACCUCGGAUCAGGUAGGAAGACCCGCUGAACUGACGC